AGAGUUUGAUCAUGGCUCAGAACGAACGCUGGCGGCGCGUUUUAAGCAUGCAAGUCGAACGGUAGCCAUAGCUUCGGUUGUGGUGAGAGUGGCGAACGGGUGAGUAACACGUAGGUGAUCUACCCCUGGAUGGAGGAUAGCCCAUGGAAACAUGGGGUAAUACUGCAUAAUGCCUAGUUUGUUAAGUGGAUUAGGUUAAAGGCGCAUUUGUGCUGUCUGGGGUUGAGCCUGCGGUCCAUUAGUUAGUUGGUGGGGUAAGAGCCUACCAAGGCGAUGAUGGAUAGCCGGCCUGAGAGGGUGCACGGUCACACUGGGACUGAGACACGGCCCAGACUCCUACGGGAGGCAGCAGCUAAGAAUCUUCCGCAAUGGGGGAAACCCUGACGGAGCGACGCCGCGUGGACGAUGAAGGCCGAAAGGUUGUAAAGUCCUUUUGUAGGUGAAGAAUAAGGUGGGGAGUGGAAAGCCCUGCUGAUGACGUUAGCCUGAGAAUAAGCCCCGGCCAAUUACGUGCCAGCAGCCGCGGUAACACGUAUGGGGCGAGCGUUGUUCGGAAUUAUUGGGCGUAAAGGGCGUGUAGGCGGUUUAGUAAGCCUGGUGUUAAAACUGUAGGCUCAACCUGCAGGUAGCGCUGGGAACUGCUAAGCUAGAGUCCAGGAGGGGAAGCUGGAAUUCCAGGUGUAGGGGUGAAAUCUGUAGAUAUCUGGAAGAACACCGGUGGCGAAGGCGAGCUUCUAGCCAUGGACUGACGCUGAGGCGCGAAAGCGUGGGGAGCGAACAGGAUUAGAUACCCUGGUA
RNAcentral lists this ribosomal RNA (798 nucleotides) under uncultured Spirochaeta sp. RNAcentral's name for it is "bacterial SSU rRNA". It matches the Rfam family "Bacterial small subunit ribosomal RNA", at positions 8 to 792 of the family's 1533-position model. Lineage: Bacteria; Pseudomonadati; Spirochaetota; Spirochaetia; Spirochaetales; Spirochaetaceae. The record is from RNAcentral.